UUAGCGAGUUAAUUACAACUCCAAACCCCUGUGACUUACCUAUGUUGCCUUGGCAGGUCGUGGUGUGUAGCGUGAUCGCUAUAAGGGAUCACCGCCUCGCACCACGCUGAAAGACCUGUUAAAGGACCCCUAAACUCUGUCUUACAACUGUAUCUCUGAGUCUAUUAUAUAAACAAGUUAAAACUUUCAACAACGGAUCUCUUGGCUCUGGCAUCGAUGAAGAACGCAGCGAAAUGCGAUAAGUAAUGUGAAUUGCAGAAUUCAGUGAAUCAUCGAAUCUUUGAACGCACAUUGCGCCUGAUAGUAUUCUGUCAGGCAUGCCUGUUCGAGCGUCAUUUCAACCCCCAAGCCCUAAUCUGCUUGACGUUGGGAGUUUACGGAGACGUAAUUCCUCAAAUAUAGUGGCGGAGCUAGGUCGUGCUCUAAGCGUAGUAACCACACUCUCGCUUCUGCAGCCGGCCUAGGUCUUGCCGUAAAACCCCUAUAUUUAUUUUUUACUGGUUGACCUCGGAUCAGGUAGGAAUACCCGCUGAACUUAAGCAUAUCAA
This 548-nucleotide ribosomal RNA is filed under the name Biscogniauxia mediterranea. RNAcentral's name for it is "eukaryotic LSU rRNA". The stretch from base 182 to 335 matches the Rfam family "5.8S ribosomal RNA". Lineage: Eukaryota; Fungi; Ascomycota; Sordariomycetes; Xylariales; Xylariaceae. The record is from RNAcentral.